UUUUAGCCCCGAUCGCAGCAUUUGUUUGAGCUCAUUUUAUUUUGAAAAAAUAAAAUAGCGAGUGCGGAGAGCGGGAAAUAGC
Molecule: unclassified non-coding RNA, 82 nt
Filed under: Chryseobacterium scophthalmum
Lineage: Bacteria; Pseudomonadati; Bacteroidota; Flavobacteriia; Flavobacteriales; Weeksellaceae
Description: Flavo-1 RNA
Source: RNAcentral